AACGUAGGUGGCAAGCGUUAUCCGGAAUUACUGGGCGUAAAGGGCGCGUAGGCGGCCCGCUAAGUCGAACGUGAAAUCCCCGGGCUCAACCCGGGAACUGCGUCCGAUACUGGCAGGCUUGAAUCCGGGAGAGGGAUGCGGAAUUCCAGGUGUAGCGGUGAAAUGCGUAGAUAUCUGGAGGAACACCGGUGGCGAAGGCGGCAUCCUGGACCGGCAUUGACGCUGAGGCGCGAAAGCCAGGGGAGCAAAACGGGG
RNAcentral lists this ribosomal RNA (255 nucleotides) under uncultured bacterium. RNAcentral's name for it is "partial 16S ribosomal RNA". It matches the Rfam family "Bacterial small subunit ribosomal RNA", at positions 524 to 778 of the family's 1533-position model. The record is from RNAcentral.